CACGCCACGCAGAGGUGAAGAUACGCAGGACGUCCUCUAAAGCAACUUCCGUGGGUGCCAGGUUGUGGGCUGGGGGCGGUGCUGACCUUGAGAGAGCGGAGGAGGCGCAGGCGCAGCACAGGUACGUGGGCGGGCGGAUCGUGGUGGCUGCGCUUGCGAGGACCCUGAGGUAGAUUGGGUGGUUUCAACAGGAACGCAUCCACUGUCUGAGAGUUUAAACUUGAUUUUGUGAGGGGACGAACAGCGUGACAAUUAAAAGAAGAUCUGGGAAUCAAAAGCUUCCUGAGGCCUUCACCAGAAGCAGAUGCUGGUGCCGUGCUUCUACAGCCUGCAGAACUCAGAGCAACUGGGAACCUAAUUCUGACCAAAAAGGAGGAAUUGUUUGGCUAAUUGGAAGUGACAGAAACCUUGGGAGAAAGCAACCGCAUACCAAGGAUAAUUAUAAGAAGAAGAGAAGACAUGGAGAAGAGGAGGGAGUAGUUGUGACCGUGGAGGCAGAGAAUGGAGUAAUGUGAUCAUAAAUCAAGGAAUGCUGACAGCCACUAAAGCUGGAGAAGGCCAAGGACAGAUAUUCAAUCCUCCCGUAGAAGUACAGCCCUGCUAAUGCAUUGAUUUUGGACUUCUGGCCUCAGAACUGUAAGAGAAUAAAUUUCUAUUGUUUUAAGCCUUCAGUUUGUGGUAGUUUGUUACAGAAACCCUGUAAAGUUAAUACACAGAGUUCAAAGAGAAUCCGGUAAUAUCUCUAAAAGACUCGUGUAUUAGUCAGGAUUCUCCAGAGAAGCAAAGCCAAUAGAAUGAUACAUGUUGUUAAAGCAAAUUAAAAUGGAGACCAUGCCUGAAGAAUCUCUGUGCAGAGAAACCCAGUUAGGCCUCAUAAGUUAACCUUACUUGAUUUGCAAACAUAAUCUAAAAGUUAACUGGAGCUAUUUCCGGUAAAUGAAUAUAACACAACUUAAGCUCAAUCAGUCAGAAGCAGCUUUAUAAUUAUGUAGCUAGGGACUUUCCAAGAGGAUGACCAAAG
Molecule: long non-coding RNA, 1021 nt
Filed under: Homo sapiens (human)
Lineage: Eukaryota; Metazoa; Chordata; Mammalia; Primates; Hominidae
Description: HSALNT0090934
Source: RNAcentral